RNAcentral lists this ribosomal RNA (333 nucleotides) under uncultured eukaryote. Its description in RNAcentral is "partial 18S ribosomal RNA". It matches the Rfam family "Eukaryotic small subunit ribosomal RNA", at positions 1470 to 1796 of the family's 1831-position model. The record is from RNAcentral.
CCCUUAGAUGUCCGGGGCCGCACGCGCGCUACACUGAAGGAAUCAGCGUGGCUUUCUCCCUGACCCGAAAGGGUUGGGAAACCCGUUGAAUCUCCUUCGUGAUAGGGAUUGGGGCUUGAAAUUGUUCCCCAUGAACGAGGAAUUCCCAGUAAGCGCGAGUCAUAAGCUCGCGUUGAUUACGUCCCUGCCCUUUGUACACACCGCCCGUCGCUACUACCGAUUGAACGGUUUAGUGAGAAUUUUGGACUGGAACUCCCUUGCUCAGCAAUGGGCGAGGGGGAGUCCGGGAAGCUAUUCUAACUGUAUCAUUUAGAGGAAGUAAAAGUCGUAACA